This is a long non-coding RNA of Ostrea edulis (European flat oyster), 467 nucleotides long. RefSeq lists it as uncharacterized. The transcript has 3 exons. Lineage: Eukaryota; Metazoa; Mollusca; Bivalvia; Ostreida; Ostreidae. The record is from RefSeq and is a predicted model, not a curated record.
UACAUGAGUAUUCAAUUAUUUUCCAUAAGAAUGAGGUUCUAUCAAUAAGAUAAUAUUUGUAAACAUCAUUCUGCAUAUUUCAGGUUACAGCCAGUGAAUGUUAUGACUGCAUGAACUAUCAUGGUCUGUAAGCAUCAUGUAACCUGGACAUCCAACUAGCCAAGAAACAAUGCAGUGGUGGAUCCAGAAUUUGUUAUAUGCAUGAAAGAGAAAAGACUCACCAUCAGGAUUGUGAAGUGCACAGGAAUCCUGGGAGUUUGGUUGACCAUUAACACAAAUGGCAUUACUGUAGGCAUCUGAGGAGAAAAAGUUCCCUAAUUAGUGAAGAAGAACUGGAUUAAUACCAGCAAUUCCUCGUAACGGCAUGUCAAGGGCAAUCCUUUGUGGGCCUUCAACCUUGGAGGAAACAACAUCUUCAUGAUUCAUGGUUCCAUAGAGUCCUGGGUAAAUUAAACAUAAGUUGUGUU